This 156-nucleotide ribosomal RNA is filed under the name Typhula sp. RNAcentral describes it as "5.8S ribosomal RNA". It matches the Rfam family "5.8S ribosomal RNA". From Rfam's summary of the family: 5.8S ribosomal RNA (5.8S rRNA) is a component of the large subunit of the eukaryotic ribosome. It is transcribed by RNA polymerase I as part of the 45S precursor that also contains 18S and 28S rRNA. The record is from RNAcentral. Lineage: Eukaryota; Fungi; Basidiomycota; Agaricomycetes; Agaricales; Typhulaceae.
ACUUUUAACAACGGAUCUCUUGGCUCUCGCAUCGAUGAAGAACGCAGCGAAAUGCGAUAAGUAAUGUGAAUUGCAGAAUUCAGUGAAUCAUCGAAUCUUUGAACGCACCUUGCGCUCCUUGGUAUUCCGAGGAGCAUGCCUGUUUGAGUGUCAUUA